RNAcentral lists this unclassified non-coding RNA (261 nucleotides) under plant metagenome. RNAcentral's name for it is "partial contains small subunit ribosomal RNA, internal transcribed spacer 1, and 5.8S ribosomal RNA". The record is from RNAcentral.
UUUCCGUAGGUGAACCUGCGGAAGGAUCAUUAUUGUAUAACCGAGGUGCGAGGGCUGUCGCUGACCCGAAAGGUCGUGCACGCCCGAGUGGGUCCUCUUGCAUAAUAAUCCAUCUCACCCUUUGUGCAUCACCGCGUGGGCACCCUUCGGGAUCAUCUCGGAGGGGGGCUCGCGUUUUCACACAAACCCCCCUUUUAAAAGUGUAGAAUGACCACAUUUAUGCAAUCAAUACAACUUUCAACAACGGAUCUCUUGGCUCUC